CCUACGGGCGGCAGCAGUGGGGAAUAUUGGACAAUGGGCGAAAGCCUGAUCCAGCCAUGCCGCGUGUGUGAAGAAGGCCUUCGGGUUGUAAAGCACUUUCAGUGGGGAAGAAAGCCUUGGGGCUAAUACCCUCGAGGAAGGACAUCACCCACAGAAGAAGCACCGGCUAACUCCGUGCCAGCAGCCGCGGUAAUACGGAGGGUGCGAGCGUUAAUCGGAAUUACUGGGCGUAAAGCGCGCGUAGGCGGUCUGAUAAGCCGGUUGUGAAAGACCCGGGCUCAACCUGGGAACGGCAUCCGGAACUGUCAGGCUAGAGUGCAGGAGAGGAAGGUAGAAUUCCCGGUGUAGCGGUGAAAUGCGUAGAGAUCGGGAGGAAUACCAGUGGCGAAGGCGGCCUUCUGGACUGACACUGACGCUGAGGUGCGAAAGCGUGGGUAGCAAACAGGAUUAGAUACCCGUGUAGUC
Molecule: ribosomal RNA, 465 nt
Filed under: Vreelandella stevensii
Lineage: Bacteria; Pseudomonadati; Pseudomonadota; Gammaproteobacteria; Oceanospirillales; Halomonadaceae
Description: partial 16S ribosomal RNA
Rfam family: Bacterial small subunit ribosomal RNA
Source: RNAcentral